AUACGGAGGGUGCAAGCGUUAAUCGGAAUUACUGGGCGUAAAGGGUCCGCAGGGGGUUGAUUAAGUCUGACGUGAAAUCCCUGAGCUUAACUCAGGAACUGCGUUGGAGACUGGUUGACUAGAGUGUUGGAGAGGUGAUUGGAAUUCCAGGUGUAGCGGUGGAAUGCGUAGAUAUCUGGAAGAACAUCGAAAGCGAAGGCAGAUCACUGGACAAUGACUGACCCUCAGGGACGAAAGCAUGGGGAGCAAACAGGAUUAGAUACCCUGGUAGUCCAUGCCCUAAACGUUGUCAACUUGAUGUGAGCGGAAUUACUCCCGUUCGUGUCGAAGCUAACGCGAUAAGUUGACCGCCUGGGAACUACGGCCGCAAGGCUAAAACUCAAAUGAAUUGGCGGGG
Molecule: ribosomal RNA, 397 nt
Filed under: uncultured bacterium
Lineage: Bacteria
Description: partial 16S ribosomal RNA
Rfam family: Bacterial small subunit ribosomal RNA
Source: RNAcentral